Molecule: long non-coding RNA, 1640 nt
Organism: Anguilla rostrata (American eel)
Lineage: Eukaryota; Metazoa; Chordata; Actinopteri; Anguilliformes; Anguillidae
Exons: 3
Source: RefSeq, a predicted model, not a curated record
UCCACAGGGAGCCCAAACAUUUUUGAUUCUUUUGGCCAUGGCUUUCUGUAUGCAAAGCCGAAACAUUCCAAUAGUCUUAUUUCUAGGCUGAUAAUACUACAGCUGCAAUUAUUUUCUUCAAGGUCAUUGUCUGCUGACUAAGGAAGCAUUGCGGAAUUUCAACCCCCCUUUGUUCUGAAGGGAAAAAUAAUAUCUGGAUGAAAAUCAUCUGGAUAAAUAUUAUUUCUCAGUCUAUGACGUCAGAAGACAAUGGAACACAUUCCCCUUUCAUCUCUUAGCAUAUCCACGUGUGGAACAUCUAUUCAGACAGACCCUUCUCAAUUACCACUGAACGCUGAUAUCUCUGGACUAAAUGAACCUGGAGAAUUAGAGCACCUUUUAUGGUCUAAUGAGGAAACCGAAUGUAACUGCCACAGAACAAAGAGAGGGAGCCGGUUUGUGAAUGGCUGUGAGCCGGGGCUAUGGAUCGGGAACGGGCGCUGAUCUCCGCGCAAGCCCCGGAUCCUCGGCAUGUCACCGCGGCCUGGAGAUCAGCGGGGGCGUGACGUCACCGCGGAAGCGAGAGCGGAGGACGAAGAAUCUGGUGGUAAUGAGGGAUUAUGUGCGGAUUAGAUCCCUUUAUUAAGAUGUUUUUGAUCCUCAUUAGGCCGUUCCUCAUAUCUGUGCAUUGAUUCUCUCUCACUCAGCCCAUCCCAGCCCAGCGGUGGGGGAUUCACUCUCUGAUAGCUGAAAAUAAGAAAAGAAAAGUUAAAUGGGCCACAAACUUAACCUUUUAAAAAGAUAGUAUUGUUUUAGAGUUUGAAUGCUGCAAUGAGAAAUCGAAAAUAUAAGGCACAUAUUUUAGAUAUACCGGCAUACAUUUAUGAAGGUUCAUUUUUUAAUAAAAUAGAACAAUUGCAACCAUUUAUGACAUUUCUAUAAAUGUAUAAAAUUACACAUACAUAUUACAUUUAAUAUACCUGAAAGUAUUGUAUUUUGGAAAAACACAAGGAUAAUUAUUGAUAUAUUUUCAUAUACACACAUUGCAUUUUAAUAUGGGUAUGGGUAAGAUGCUUUCUUUUCGCAAUUUGGAAUUCCGAUUUUGGCAUUUAGGGACAUUUAGGGUCGAACUCAUUGCACUGUUUCCUGUCACUGUUCUUUGCGUCUCUGUGCCCACGCUGCGGAUCUUUGACCAUUAAACCCGAUCCUUUAUCUGUGCAGACAGACAUCUGUGUUGUGAGCGCGGAGUGUGUACAAGCAGACAUGUUUACGGGCGCAGGAUCUCUCUGCUAUUGUUUUUCAGAGAGAGAAGAGGGAGGAAGUGUGCAGUCCAGCAGCAGGCAGAGUCCGUGUAUUUCCAAAGUCAAUAUUGACGGCCUAUCAGGAGUUUAGAUAGCCACUAAGCAAACACUGAUGGCGGCUUUAACACCUCAGAAUCCAGUACAAUGGUGGGAGUGAAUCGCAGAAAUUCCUGGGCUCGUAGAAAAAAAAGAAGCAUCCCAGAGAUUAACAUGGAGGCCCAGGGAUGGCCAGGACAUUUGACAGAGGAUGGGAAAUGGCUGCUACAAUCACACCGGCAAGAGAUGACUGUGGCCCAGAGCCCAGGCCGACUGAAGGAAAUAGUAACACUAAAUCGCCAAUGUGCUGUUGUUUUUAUUAGA